This 464-nucleotide ribosomal RNA is filed under the name uncultured bacterium. RNAcentral describes it as "partial 16S ribosomal RNA". It matches the Rfam family "Bacterial small subunit ribosomal RNA", at positions 355 to 836 of the family's 1533-position model. The record is from RNAcentral.
UGGGGAAUAUUGGACAAUGGGGGCAACCCUGAUCCAGCAAUGCCGCGUGUGUGAAGAAGGUCUUCGGAUUGUAAAGCACUUUCGACGGGGACGAUGAUGACGGUACCCGUAGAAGAAGCCCCGGCUAACUUCGUGCCAGCAGCCGCGGUAAUACGAAGGGGGCUAGCGUUGCUCGGAAUGACUGGGCGUAAAGGGCGUGUAGGCGGUUUACACAGUCAGAUGUGAAAUCCCCGGGCUUAACCUGGGGGCUGCAUUUGAUACGUGUAGACUAGAGUGUGAGAGAGGGUUGUGGAAUUCCCAGUGUAGAGGUGAAAUUCGUAGAUAUUGGGAAGAACACCGGUGGCGAAGGCGGCAACCUGGCUCAUGACUGACGCUGAGGCGCGAAAGCGUGGGGAGCAAACAGGAUUAGAUACCCUGGUAGUCCACGCUGUAAACGAUGUGUGCUAGAUGUUGGGUAACUUUGU